GUAACAUUGCUGAGAGUCUGGCACAGACCAUUUAUCGUCUGAGUUAACCUUUCACACCGUUUUUUGAUAAAGUUGCUCUUGCCUUAUUCAGACAGCAUCAUUUUUUCUCUUCUUUGUGAGGAGAAUCUGGGACCAAAUGUUUGCUGAGGCCAUGCCAAAAAUGAAGAGAAGGGAAAAAAAUAAUGAAUUCCUGAAGAGCAAGCUAAAAUCAACAUGGCAAUGAAGCAGGAUCUUAAUUACUGAGUGUCUGCUGGUGAAGCUGCGUUCGUUCAUUUAACCCAGCACACUCUGUAGUGGAGUCCUGCUGCUGCCACACCUAAGAAAUGUGAACUGCCAGAAGUACUCCUCUUUUACAUUAGACAAGAU
RNAcentral lists this long non-coding RNA (366 nucleotides) under Anser brachyrhynchus (Pink-footed goose). RNAcentral describes it as "lncRNA (ENSABRG00000005552.1)". Lineage: Eukaryota; Metazoa; Chordata; Aves; Anseriformes; Anatidae. The record is from RNAcentral.